RNAcentral lists this ribosomal RNA (479 nucleotides) under uncultured bacterium. RNAcentral describes it as "partial 16S ribosomal RNA". It matches the Rfam family "Bacterial small subunit ribosomal RNA", at positions 30 to 506 of the family's 1533-position model. The record is from RNAcentral.
AUUGAACGCUGGCGGAAUGCUUUACACAUGCAAGUCGAACGGUAGAGGGGGCAACCCCUUGAGAGUGGCGAACGGGUGAGUAAUAUAUCGGAACGUGCCCAGUCGUGGGGGAUAACGUAGCGAAAGUUACGCUAAUACCGCAUACGAUCUAAGGAUGAAAGCGGGGGAUCGCAAGACCUCGCGCGACUGGAGCGGCCGAUAUCAGAUUAGGUAGUUGGUAGGGUAAAGGCCUACCAAGCCAACGAUCUGUAGCUGGUCUGAGAGGACGACCAGCCACACUGGAACUGAGACACGGUCCAGACUCCUACGGGAGGCAGCAGUGGGGAAUUUUGGACAAUGGGCGAAAGCCUGAUCCAGCCAUUCCGCGUGCAGGAUGAAGGCCCUCGGGUUGUAAACUGCUUUUGUACAGAACGAAAAGGUUUCUAUUAAUACUAGGAGCUCAUGACGGUACUGUAAGAAUAAGCACCGGCGAACUACGU